UGACAUUCAAAUUUUAAUUAGGCUUCCUACUGAGCACAAACAGCAGCCAAUCAGAAGGCAAGGUGCCAAACUUCACAUUCAAACUUGAAUUAUCAAAAAAAAAAAAAAAAAAGAAACUGAUCAGAAGGUGAACAAUAAAUUCAUCUUAAUGUUUCCAACAGAAAACGAGGACAGCCGAGGAAAACAAUCUGAAGCUGCACUGAUUUUCAAGCCAGUGUGAGCCCUGCGCUUCGUGCUCCUCUGCCACUUUCUUGACUGUGGACAGCAGAGACGCCCGAGGCCGUCAAGUCCAACCGGCUGCGACACUUGGACUUCAUGCAGGACCGGGACGGAUCCCUGCUCAACAAGGUGUGCUGUCGGGACGGCAAGAAGGAGCAGCCUUGUGUUCUCCAGAGAGCAUGUUGACUCACAUGCUGCCCCAGCCAGAUGUGCGUAAAAUGUCUCCUUCAUCAUCAUCAUCAUCAUACUACUGCUGGAUGGUGUUGUAUCUGUAUUUAUUUAUCCUGCAGUAUAAAAAUCUCAAACAAGGACUGUGGAGGGCCAUGUGGUUCACAGUCCAGGGCUACAUGUCUCGCUCUCUAACAGCUAACAGAGUUUCUUUGGGUGAUUACUUCAUUCCAGGAUUUUGCUUUAGUUUCACAAAGGGACUUAAUUCUCAUAUUUUAUCAUAUUUUACAGCGUUUGCAGUCAGUUUUAUAUAAAUCUCUCCUGAAUUCUCCUUUUCAGAAACAUCAAGAUAAACGGUUACUCAGCAAAGCAGAACCAGGGCAUUACAGUUUUUAGCCCACAAAGCUUCUGUAUUUAUUGAAUUUUGUCUAAAAAUUAUUUUAAUCAUUUGUCUCCAUAAUAAAUAGUAUUUUUUCUGAACAUGUAUUUACUGUUCUGUUCACUUUGAACUCACCAAGUGACACUGAGGAAUGGGAGAGGUUGUCUUCUCACAUGGGAACAGAAGCAAAGAAUUCAAUUCACGUACUGUGGGAAGGAACUUUUAAUGUGCAUCUUGUAAAUGUUCUAAACCAUGUUGUAAACCUGUUCUGAGCACAACAAAGAAACUUUGGAACACAUUGCUUAAUAACUUAAACUUUUAGUUUGGGUUAUUAGCCUAAUAACUCUUGAGGCUUCAAUAUUGCUUCAUAGACCGGAGGCCUGUACCAUAAAACUGGAUUUGGGCUUAGCGAGGUAACUUCAGGGUUAACCCUGGGUUUUCUGUAUCACGAAGGUGGUUUACUUUUUAUCGGGGUACGUCAAGCCGAAAUCCAGCCUUAUGGUACAGGCCUCAGAUCUGACAAAAGAUGUUCACUUUGUGACAAAUAUCGGAUAAAACUGGACAAAUUGUUUGGGGGAUUAACUGGAGUUUUGAAUUGUUUUCAGUACUAGAAAAUAACACUAUACUAGAAAACAGUUCCUCGUGGGUUUAUUUAUUCUGUUAAAUUGUGAAACAAACUUAUGAUUUAUUCUACCCGUUUACUGUGUUUCAUUUGCACGUGAUAAGAAUAUAUUGUUCUAUUGUACUAUAUUGCAUUGUUCCAUUGUAUUGCAGUUAUCCAGGACAUGCCUCUCAUUAAAGCUGUUAAUGAGCAAAUUAACAUGACUUUGCUUUAUUAACAUAGAAUUGCAAUAAUAAUAAUAAAUUAAAAGAAAGGGGGGAAAAAAAGAAAUCAUGUGGCAUGAGUGAACGGUCAUUUGAACAACCACUUUGUUUUUGUGGUACAGCUCAGUAGCACAAUAACCAUAGUUUACCUCGACAUAACAUGUAGGGAAGAAAACAAUUUAUGAUCUCUGUAAAGUCAUAACUG
Molecule: long non-coding RNA, 1796 nt
Organism: Myripristis murdjan (pinecone soldierfish)
Lineage: Eukaryota; Metazoa; Chordata; Actinopteri; Holocentriformes; Holocentridae
Source: Ensembl